Molecule: long non-coding RNA, 4211 nt
Filed under: Sus scrofa (pig)
Lineage: Eukaryota; Metazoa; Chordata; Mammalia; Artiodactyla; Suidae
Description: lncRNA (ENSSSCG00015046287.1)
Source: RNAcentral
CAGGGCAGCCUACAUGGGCUUCAUGCCUCAGUCCCCCACUCAAGAUGUUAAAUGCUAAAAGGGAACUGAUGUAGACUUCUAAAACAGACUGCCCCAAAAACUGCCCUGAGAAAUGGGAGUGGCCACUUCAUUAGGAAAGGACUUUAAAAUGCAAACGGCCUGGAAAAAUAUUUGCUAUGUCUUUGCCCAGUGCCAGGCCCAGUAAUUACUUGAUAAGGUGGGUCAAAUUGGAGCUUUAGCUGCUGGCCUACACCACAGCCACAGCAAUGCAGGAUCCAAGCCACAUCUUCGACCUACAUCACAGCUCACGGCAUCGCCAGAUCCUUAACCAAAUGAGUGAGGCCAGGGAUUGAACUCGAAACCUCAUGGUUACUAGUCGGAUUUGUUUCUGCUGCACCACGACAGGAACUCCCAGGAAUGCAUUAUAAUUUUAUUUUCUAUUUUUUGCUCUUUAGGGCUGUACCCGUGGCAUAUGGGGGUUUCCAGGCUAGGGGUCCAAUCCGAGCUACAGCUGCCAGCCAAGAUCCAAGCUGUUUGCCAGAUCCAAGCUGCGUCUGCAACCUACACCACAGCUCAUGGCAACACCAGAUCCUUCACCCACUGAGCAAGGCUCCAGGGAUCAAACCUGCAACCUCAUGGUUCCUAGUCAGAUUCAUUUCUGCUGCACCACUGCAGGAACUCCAGAAAUUCACUAUUUUUAUAUCCCACUUUGAGUAAUAAAUAGAAGCUGUGUUUGACAGGCACAUUAUUAGACCUUGUAGGUCCAUAACAAUUCCACCCCACCCCACGCCCGCAAUAAUUCAAGGUAUCUCUUCCUACUAAUGCAUCCUCCUGGAACAUUAUGAAGAAGAAAAGGCCACAGAACCACAAAGCUAAAGCAAACCUGACAUCAUCUAGUCCCAGGGUUAUUUUUGUCUUCAGCUGUGAAAUCUUUCCUCUCGCCAAACAAAAACUUACACAGGGGGGCUGAUAAACACACACAAGUUGCUGUUCUGGUUUGAGCAGAAGAGACACAGAGUUGCUCCAAUUUGUCUUCCUCCAACUCCUCCAAGAAAGCAAAGGGCAUUUCCAAAUCCCAGUUCCAGCCUCAUCUCAGAUUAUUCUAGAAGCAAGGAAACUGGGGCGCAGAAAAAGGACUUGCCUUGGCCAGGCUCACCCACCUCCCACAGCACCACGCGUUUCUAUUUGAGCUCAACCCCUGUCCCCUCCCUGGCUUCGCAUUCCUCCAGGGCCCUUAUGAGAUGCUGUGUAUUUAUGCUAAGUGUUUAUGUUUUUAAAUACCCUACUUUAUUCUGAGACCCUGGAAGGAAUGAACUAGUCUUACUCAUUCGUGUUCCACCCCCCACCCCAAACCCCUUGGCACCCAGCACCCUGCUUUAUACCAAGCAGGUCCUCUGGCCACAAUGACUGAUGUGGACUGAAAUUGCCCCACCUGAAUGAUGGCCCACAUUAGGUUAAGCACUAGCUGCUAGGAAUAUAAGAAAUUUGAUUUUGGUGUGUUGAAGUUUCGAUAUCCAAGUUAAUAUAUAAUGGAAUCUUUUAUUUUCAAAAUCAAAGUGGACCUAAGAAUAACCCAUAGUGGCUCAUCAGAGUGUUAAAUAUCAAAGAACAGGGCUUCCCAAACGUUAACAGGUAUCAGAAUCACGUGAAGCGUUUGUUAAUUAACCUCUCCUUCUGCAGCUGGGCUGCUAAAGAGACCAGGAAAGUGCUAGGAUACAGUAAAAAGAAUUGGGAUUUGUCACAAUUCCUGCUAAAUAUUUCACAGAGUUGCCAUCAUUCAGCUCAUUAGGAAACUGUCUUAGAUUGCCAUGCUGUAGCGUUGAAAUUUUAUGUCACUUCCUUGCCAGGUGAUUCAGCCAGCUAUCACACCCCACUAUAAGCAAUCCUCUAGUCACUGGACGUCUUGAAAUGUAAGGUACAUUUCUCCCGAUAACCAUACAAAAUGAAGGAAAAUUCAGAAAUAAUGCCAUUUGCAGCAACACGGAUAGACCUAGAGAUUAUCAUCCUUGGCAAAGUCGGUCAGAAAGAGAAAGACAAAACCAUAUGAUAUCACUUAGAUGUGGAAUUUAAAAUACCACAUAAAAGAGCUUAUCAACAAAACAGACUCAUGCAUGGAGCAAAUAGACUUAUAGUUGCCAAGGGGGUAGGUAGGGGAGGGAUGGACUGGGAGUUUGGGGUUAGCAGAUGCAAACUAUUAUAUAUAGGAUGGAUAAACAGGGUCCUAUCGUACAGCGCGGGGCAAUAUAUUCAAUAUCCUGAGAUUAACAGUAAUGGAAUAGAAUACAAAAAAGAAUGAAUAUAUAUAAAAAUGAAUCACUUCACUGUACAGAAGAAAUGAACCACCAUUGUAAAUCAAAUGCACUUCAGUGAGUUUUCUUUAAAAGUAAAAAUAAAAUGAAGGAAAAUUCAGUCAUAUUAUGAGGGGAGAAAAAAACCCUCCCUUUUCAUAAGGAUCUAAUCUUGACCUUCUUUGCGUGAUUACUACCGUCAUCCCCUUCCACCACCAACAGAGAAAUUUGUUUUCCCUUAAUUUGUAUGAGAAUUUAUGCAAAAUCAAUUCAGUUCAACAAACAGCAUGGCCAAGCCAACCACUGUGCUGAGAAAAAUCAAGUAUGUCUAAGAUCCAGCCUUCAUUCCAGGGGCCUGCACAGUUUGUGUAAAGCAAGGGAUGUGGCCCAAACGUGACUCAAAGUAGGUGCUUGAUAAACUUUGUCCUCCGAGAGAAAACCGGUCUACCUGGUGGGCGUUUACCAUCCAGAACUUUCUCAUAGGAGUUACGUAUUUGCUCUAUUUGUACUCACCUAAUUAAGCUUUCUCUACUCACAGUUGGAGCAAUUAAAACUCUGGAGGGUUUCAGUGUCUUAUCCUCAAGCAAUCCGUGGGCCGAAACCAAGAUUAGAACUGCGACUCCUCCUCAUUCCCAGCAAGGAACCAUCCUUACAGAAAUUCUCCCACCCCCUCCCAGCCUUUUGUUAGCCUUCCUGGUUUUUAGGUGCUAUCAAUGACGUCAAGAAAGAUUCCUAUUCUCAUUUUCUUCAAUAUUUUCAUGUAUUUAGAAAAGGAGGUAUCCCUUCUCCAUCCUUUAUUUCUACCCAGGAGAGGAGGUGAGUCACUCCAUUGAGGCUUGUAACGGAUCUUGCUCCACCACGGACGUUCCCCAGAUGCUGCAAAGGCAGCAGGCAUGAGCAGAUGGCAGUGAUUCCCAACCACCAAAUUGGCCUUUAUUCCAAGCAGUCAUUUAUGGAGUUUUCAUUGCUCUACAAAAACCUUAGUCCACCUGAGGUCACUUACCCAAAGGUUGUGUUUUAUUCUAAGUUGUUACCAAAUUUGAAUUGGCCGAUAGGAAACAAAAGGUAUGAAUGGAUGACAUUUUUGGUCUGGAACUACUUGACUUUUUUUUUUUUUUUUUUUAAAACCAAGCCCAACUCUGCAUGCCUUGUCUUAAAUCACAAAAUUUCUCUCAACUUACUCUCAUUCUGCUGUGGAUCAUACCAACAUAGAAACUGUCGACAAAUGAACUGUUACACUUAGAAUGGAUAAGCAGGAGUUCCCAUAAUGGCUCAGAGGAAAUAAAUCUGGCUGGUAUCUAUAAGGACGCAAGUUCGAUCCCUGGCCUCACUCAAUGGCCUAAGGAUCCAGCAUUCCUGUGGCUGUGGCUUAGGCUAGUGGCUACAGCUCCGAUUCGACCCCUAGCCUGGGAAUCUUCAUAAGCCGUGGGUGAGGCCCUAAAAAAGACAAAAAAAAAAAAAACCAAAUAUAGAAUGGAUAAGCAGUGAGGUCCUACUGUACAGAAUAGAGAAUUACAUCCACUCUCUUUGGAUAGAACACGAUGGAAGAUACUAUUAUGAGAAGAACAAUGUGUGUAUGUGUGUAUAUAUAUAUGUAUAUGACUGGGUCACUAUGCUAUUCAGCAGAAAUUGACACAAUACUGUAAAUCAACUAAACUCUAAUAAAAAUAAAAUUUAUUAAAAAAAGAAAUUGCCAACAGAUGUAAUACAAUUUCACUUCUUUGAAAAUGAAGGUACUGGAGUUCCCGUCAUGGCUCAGUGGUCAAAGAACGCAACUAGCAUCGGUGAGGACACGGGUUCGAUCCCUGGCCUCGCUUAGUGGGUUAAGGACCCAGCGUUGCUGUGGCUCUGGUGUAGGCUGGCAGGUACAACUCCAAUUGAACCCCUAGCCUGGGAACCUCCAUAUGCCAUGGGUGUGGCCCU